GUUGGUGUCAGUGAUGACUGAUCUUUUUUCCCCAACAGAUCGACUCUGUUGACCACAUGUAACUAAGCCAAAACUGUCUGACACACCAGC
Molecule: small nucleolar RNA, 90 nt
Organism: Megalops cyprinoides (Indo-Pacific tarpon)
Lineage: Eukaryota; Metazoa; Chordata; Actinopteri; Elopiformes; Megalopidae
Product: small nucleolar SNORD12/SNORD106
Exons: 1
Source: RefSeq, a predicted model, not a curated record